RNAcentral lists this ribosomal RNA (285 nucleotides) under uncultured bacterium. RNAcentral's name for it is "partial 16S ribosomal RNA". It matches the Rfam family "Bacterial small subunit ribosomal RNA", at positions 29 to 289 of the family's 1533-position model. The record is from RNAcentral.
ACGAACGCUGGCGGCGUGCCUCAAACAUGCAAGUCGAGCGGGGUUCUGGAAGUGGGCGACCACGGAAGGGACCUAGCGGCGGACGGGUGAGUAACGCGUGGGUAAUCUGCCCAAGGGACCGGGAUAACACCUCGAAAGGGGUGCUAAUACCAGGUGACCCUGGUGCUCCGAGUGGGGGACCAGGGAUAGGUGGCCUCUUGACAAUGCUACUGCCCCUUGGAUGAGCCCGCGUCCCAUUAGCCAGUUGGCGGGGUAAAGGCCCACCAAGGCGACGAUGGGUAGCCG